GCCGUGAAAGCCCUCGAUUCUCUGUCUAUCGGUAGACGGCCUACGCACGGGAACGACGGAGAUUUUUUCAACUACUUGAUAGUCCCUCUUUACCUCGCUCCCUUAAGUUGACGCCUAUGCGCCUGCGCGGGAAUGACGAUGAAAAACAAACCUUGAUAUAAGCCUUUCCAUUCUAAAUUGUUUUUUUCUAUUAGCCAUUUCUAAAAAACCACCGUCGUCCCGCGCAGGCGGGGACCCA
Molecule: antisense RNA, 238 nt
Filed under: Coxiella burnetii RSA 493
Lineage: Bacteria; Pseudomonadati; Pseudomonadota; Gammaproteobacteria; Legionellales; Coxiellaceae
Description: Coxiella burnetii sRNA 3
Rfam family: Coxiella burnetii sRNA 3
About the family: CbSRs 2, 3, 4 and 9 are located antisense to identified ORFs. CbSRs are up-regulated during intracellular growth in host cells.
Source: Rfam by way of RNAcentral